CAAAUAUUGGUACAAAAUAUGUAAUAAAUACUUUUUCUCCAUGCAUGUAAGUAUAUAUAGAAGACAACCAACUUUAGCAGAUUAUGAAGACCAGAGAAUAACUAAGCGAGGAUAUUCAAUUAACUAAAGAGAAGGAUAUGUUAAAACCUUCAUGAGAGAACGUGCAAAGACAUCGGAGACUUUAGUUGUAAUAACUAACAAAUGACUAGAUAAUGCCCAUCAAAUUGUAGCAAAUGAUAAUAACAGGUAAGGGAAGAAAGGAGAACCAAUUUUUGCUUAAUGUUUAGAGUAUCAAGAAACGAAUUUAUGACA
RNAcentral lists this long non-coding RNA (312 nucleotides) under Olea europaea (common olive). RNAcentral's name for it is "long non-coding RNA (OEUR_LNC009291)". The record is from RNAcentral. Lineage: Eukaryota; Viridiplantae; Streptophyta; Magnoliopsida; Lamiales; Oleaceae.